AUAUCAGUCAUGCAUAGCAUAUCAAUAAGCGGAGGAAAAGAAACUAACAAGGAUUCCCUUAGUAACGGCGAGUGAAGCGGGAAGAGCUCAAAUUUGAAAUCUUCAAGGUUUUACCUUGACGAAUUGUAGUUUAAAGAAGUGUUUUCUGUUGAAGUUUUGGUAAAAGUUCUUUGGAACUAGGACAUCAUAGAGGGUGAGAAUCCCGUAUUUGACCAUUACUUUCAGCUUUGUGAUACACUUUCAAAGAGUCGGAUUGUUUGGGAAUGCAGUCCAAAAUGGGUGGUAAAUUUCAUCUAAAGCUAAAUAUUGGCGAGAGACCGAUAGCGAACAAGUACCGUGAGGGAAAGAUGAAAAGAACUUUGAAAAGAGAGUUAAACAGUACGUGAAAUUGUCAAAAGGGAAGCGUUUGACACCAGUGUUGUUUUCUCGAAAAUCAAUUAAAAAGAGUUGGAUUUUGUGUUGUAUUGACUUUAUCGGCUUUCUUCACUCUUUUCCAGCUUUUUUUAAUGCACUUUUCGUUUAACAAGUCAACAUCAGUUUCUUUUGUUGUAAAAAGGUCAUUGGAAGGUGGCUUUCUCUUCGGAGAAAGUGUUUAUAGCCUUUGACUCAUGCAAUCGGAGAGACUGAGGUCUGCAGCGUAGAUCCUUCGGGGUUAGAUACAUUUGUGCUAAGUUAUAGCUUUUCAUAGACAACUUGUUGACUAUGUUUAGUCUUGUAGCUUACUCGCUUAUGCUAUUUUACCUACGCUUAGGAUGUUGAACUCUAUCACACACA
RNAcentral lists this ribosomal RNA (774 nucleotides) under uncultured Neocallimastigales. Its description in RNAcentral is "partial large subunit ribosomal RNA". It matches the Rfam family "Eukaryotic large subunit ribosomal RNA", at positions 22 to 615 of the family's 3401-position model. Lineage: Eukaryota; Fungi; Neocallimastigomycota; Neocallimastigomycetes; Neocallimastigales. The record is from RNAcentral.